GAUGAACCGUGCGAACGUUGUUCGGAAUCACUGGGCUUAAAGGGCGCGUAGGCGGGCUGUCAAGUCUGGGGUGAAAUGCCGCGGCUCAACCGUGGAACUGCCUCAGAUACUGACGGCCUCGAGGGAGGUAGGGGCGUGCGGAACUGUAGGUGGAGCGGUGAAAUGCGUUGAUAUCUACAGGAACUCCGGUGGCGAAAGCGGCGCGCUGGACCUCUUCUGACGCUGAGGCGCGAAAGCUAGGGGAGCAAACGGG
RNAcentral lists this ribosomal RNA (253 nucleotides) under uncultured bacterium. Its description in RNAcentral is "partial 16S ribosomal RNA". It matches the Rfam family "Bacterial small subunit ribosomal RNA", at positions 524 to 776 of the family's 1533-position model. The record is from RNAcentral.